Molecule: long non-coding RNA, 659 nt
Filed under: Sus scrofa (pig)
Lineage: Eukaryota; Metazoa; Chordata; Mammalia; Artiodactyla; Suidae
Description: lncRNA (ENSSSCG00015038465.1)
Source: RNAcentral
AUGUUUGCCUUUUCACUUCCCUGCAAACAGCUAACUCUUUACGUUAAAUUCUCUCUGUUGGAUAAUUUGUGUGGUUUCUCUCUUUCGAGCUGGACUCUGACUGAAGCAGACAUGCCACCUUACGUCUUCCAUGAGAAGGACCGUAGGUUUCUGGCACAGUCCAAGUGUCCAGAGGAUUGUCAACACUCGUAUCAAUGGGCCCGUAGCUCCUGGAUUCCAGGUUGUUUUGGAGACUAUUUUUGUGGACCAAAUUUACUCAGAAGUUUUAUGAAAACAGCUACACAUUCACUUCCAACUUGAACUAGUGAAGUGCUUUAAAAUCCUUUAAAUCUGAUAAACAAUGAGAUCCUGCUGUCUAGCCUUGGGAACUAUAUCUAGUCACUAUGACGGAACAUGACGGAGGAUCAUGUCAGAAGAUGAAGGGGACCAAUGAGAGUAUUGGGGACUAAAUGAUUCUCCCGCCAAAAUACCUCAUGUGAUGGUAGAAAUAACUGGAUACAGAUGAAAUCAUGGAAAUGGGACCUACAUGCAUAAGAGCAAGAAGAUAGCCAUUGACAAGCAGCAAGAGGGUCCUCACCAGAAGCUGAAUCUACUAGCACCUUGACCUUGGACUUCCUGGCCUACUGAACGCUGAGAAAUAAAAGUCUUAAGUCUGUGGU